RNAcentral lists this long non-coding RNA (3815 nucleotides) under Homo sapiens (human). RNAcentral describes it as "non-protein coding lnc-TFEC-2:8". The record is from RNAcentral. Lineage: Eukaryota; Metazoa; Chordata; Mammalia; Primates; Hominidae.
AGUGGGCGGCGACGCCGGCAGCUGGGACGAGGAGGGCCUCCUGGUCACCCUUCUGGGGGCCCGUACUGUCAUGCCUCAGAGCUGGCAAGUCGUCCCAGGGAAGACAACGGCCUUCCUGGAGGGAGGGAACCUUGUGGUUAGGCGCAUGGGGUGCGAAGCAGGGCCUCUACUUGGCCGACGCAGCUAGAAGACUAAGGUCAGGGGCAUUCUGGAUGCAGCCCACAAAGCUAGCUCUCUGUGGCACUGAGCAAGAUCAUCUCAGCCUCUCCUGAACUGUGACCAACUGGCUUACUCAAGGGACUGGAUCUGCUGUCCCGACAUGAUGGCAAGCUGCAGCACAUCAUGCAGAUUAAAGUUCAGCCUGCCUCAGACUCAGGAUAAAAACACAUUUGGGACAGUCUCGCUCAGCCUCAUUGCAGAGACAAGAAAUGUAUGAAAAGAAAGUACAGAGAAAAAAAAAGAAUGGAAUACACAUGAAUGCCGAACCACAUUGGAUAUGUAGCUGUUCAUGAAGAUAUUCCAGGGAAGGCCUAUCUAGUAGAGCCUCAAAUCUAUUUGAAUACAAAUGGCACUCAUUAAGGACAUCUGUCUUCUGUAAUGUCUACACAAAGUCUUACCGGGGUCUUCUUGGCUCUUAUUGACGGCUGAUGAAGGAGGGGUUUAUAAAGAAAACAAGCCAAAACCUGAAUAACUUGCUACUGAGAGCAGCACACAUAUUUUCCCAAAGUGCAAAGUUGAGAAGAAGUACAAAGCUUUGUUAAUAUUCUGAACAGUACUGCUUAGUAUGAUCUAAUUGAUGGAUUUUCCAUGGACUCCCUAGAGACUGAAAAAGAAGUUCCACAAUGGAUGUUCCUGAUGAGUGUGCAUUCGUAUAAUUAUUCAGAGACUCAAACUCCUACCAUUUAAUGUCUCCUCCAUUUCUGGAGUCCCAGGAGUCCUCUUCAAGAGAGCCUCUGUCUUUGGCUGACCUUCAUGAGAAAGUAUAUGGAGGUCACAUGGGUGAUAUUUCAUGCUGAGCCUGCACUUCUUGCUGCCACCAUGUGAAGAAGGAUGUGUUUGCUUCCUCUUUUGCCACAAUUGUAAGUUUCCUGAGGACUUCCCAGCCAUGCUGAACUCAGAAGAGGAAGUUGGAGGCAUGUGAGGUGCAGGAAGGAUUCUAAGCAGUGGUGCUGGCUUUGAAGAUGGAAGGCAUUGUACCUCAAUGAAUGUGACUGGUUUCUAGAAGCUGAGAGUAGCCAGCCCCCAGCUGACAGCCAACAAGGAAACAGGGACCUUGGUUCUCCAACCACAGAAAAUAGAUUCUACCAACAAGAAUGAGCUUGAAAGCAGAUUCUUCCCUCGCACUUAAAGUCUCCUGCAACUAUGGUGAUACACCUUGAUCCGGCAUCUUCCAUUCACCUCUCCAGAUUCAUUCUCCAUGCCUCAGUACUCUGUGCUAUUUCCCAGAAGGCUGAUCCUUAAGGACUACACCUGUGGGAUCCCUUGUCACUGGCAAUGGGACAAUGGGAGGUGCCAGCAGAAAAUCAGAGUGAUGAAGAAUGAGGUCUGGGUAUUUAUCUCCUGGCUUUCUGUAAGUAUACAAGGUGAUAAAAAGGAAAAUGAUUCCUAACAACUUGGGGGUAUGUGGAAGCAGGGGAAGGGGGUGCUGUGGGCUGAACUGUGUUUCCUCAAAGUCAUAUGCUGAAGCUCAAACUCCUAAUGUGACUGUAUUUGGAGCAGGGGCUUUUAAGAAGUAAAGUUAAAAGAUGUCACAAGGUGAACGUCACAAUCCAUUGGAAUAGGUGACCUUAUAAGAAAAGGGAGAGAGAUCUCUUCCUCUCCAGACACACACACACACACCCACACACACCAAGGAAAGGCCAUGUGAGCACGUGGUGAGAAGGCAGCCGUCUGUAAGCCAGGAAGAGAGACCUCACCAGAACUCAACCAUGUUGGCACCUGAUCUCGAACUUUCCAGCCUCUAGAACUGGAAGAAAGUACAUUUCUGUUUAAACUACCAGGUAUGUGAUAUUUUGUUAUGGCAGCCUGAAAAGACAUACAUGGGCAGGGAAGACUUCUCAGAGGUAUUUCUUGAGCUGAGACUUUUUGUUUCCUAGUGGUGGGAGGUAGGGUUUUCCAGGCAGAGAACACCAUGCAAUAAGGCACAAAAUUUCAGGGAAUAGUAUGUAUCAAGCACUUGGAUCAUAGAGUGCUUGGAAGGGAAGUGGAAGAGGCUGGAAAAGCAAGCAGAGGCCAGAUGUUAGGGUUUAAUGUCAAAGGCCAAGAAAUUUGCCUAAAAGAAGUCCAGUGGGAAACUACUGAGGGUUCUUAAGUCAUCUGAAGUAUGUAAUAGUAUCCAUGUUCAAAAGACCAUUCUUGUGAUUGUGUGAGAGGCCAGACUAAUAAAGAGGUAGAGAAUAAUUUAACUCUGAUUUUUGAAAUGUGCCCGAUGGAGCCCUCAGGGUCCUAAGUCAAGGAUCACCAUGAAGCUGGAGGAGGAGGCUAAGUGGGCAGGGUCAUGGGAUCCCAUGUCUACUUCACCCACAUAAGUUCUGUGGCCCUAGACUAGACCUGGAAUCUUUGUUACACUCAGGACAACUAGUCUAGAAUAUUUUACUUCAAAGACUGUACUGAAAGAGGCUACAUAGGGAGGUCAAAGGCACCUGCUUCAGCUCUUUUAGCUAUGGUGAAAAAGUCAGGGAAUUAUCAAGAAUUCUGAGAGAAAUGUGACUGGACCCAUGCCAGGAAGAUGUCAGAACUACUAAGAAAUACCAAUGGGGUGGACUGUUAUCAACCCCAGCUGAAUGACAGGCCAUAUGCAAAGUCCUAGACUAUUAUGGCUCUUAGAUUUUCAGACUACACCCAGUUGAUUAAAUGAGUCUGUGUGAUAAAUUGAAAUGUAAAAGGUUAUUUUCAUGCCAUGGAGAUCUGCUCUUGUCGGAUAUAUUUUCAUCUGAAAAUAUCGAUUAAAAUGAUUAAUAUAGACAUAACAAAAAUGACUAACUUGCUUUAGAGAAAAGAUGAUAUCUCUUAGGAAUGAGCUUUAAAAUCUCACGAGCGGUUUUUGGCAACUGCAUAGCAGAACUAAAAAGAAUGCAGGUUAAGUAUCUCUUACCCAAAAUGUUUCACAAGUAAAAUAAAACAGAAGUGUAUCAGAUUUCAAAUUUUUUUUAAAUUUUGGAAUAUCUGCAUAAACAAUGAGAUAUCUUGGGGAUAGGGCCCAAGUUUAAACAUAAAAUUAAUUUCUGUUUCAUAUACAGCUUAUGUACAUAAGCUGAUGGUAAUUUUAUACAUAUUUUAAAUAAUUUUGUACAAGACACAAAGGUUUGAAUGCAUUUUUGAAUGCAACCUGUCACACGGUCAGGUAUGUGAAAUUUUCCACUUGUGGCAUCGUGUUGACACUCAAGAAGUUUUGGUUUUGGAGCAUUUUGGAUUUUGGAUUUUAUGUAUUAUAAGAUUGUAAGGUAAAAACUAUGCCCAGGAGAGGGCAGUGCAGCCUUCUGUAAAGUUAACUAAUAGGCCCAAUAGAAAAUAGUGUGAGCAUUAAGAGCAGAGAUGUUCUAAUUCAUGAAAACUAUUUUGUGUUAAGUCACUUUACCUUUUUAAAACAUGAGAGACAUACUGCCACUUCUAUGUCCCUUGAAGAGACAGCACAAGGGAGAGCUGCUUAAGUCUUGUAAAAAAAAAUUCUGGAAAACUUUAGCUCCCUAAAACUGAAGAAUUGUAUCAAAACUGAAGAACUGUAUCAGUUCUAGCAGGUUUCUACUGACUUUCCUAUUUUAAACAAUUAUCUUUGUUUCUGAAAACUGAUUCAAUAAACUAGUUUUUAAAAGAGA